CACCUGGAGUCCCCUUUCUUCCUCCCUGCUCCUAGUCAAAUCCCACUGAUAUAUCAGGGGACAGUGGAAAGUGGCUGUUUUAAAUUCAGGAAUUUAGAAAGUAACUGUGAAUCAAGCUGAUAGUGUUGGUUUUGAAUGCUUUUUUUCAAUAAUACAGAAGUCCUUUGCAGAGUUUUUGAGGGAAAGCUAUAGGAAGUCUCUAUCACUCCUAUUCCAUACCCCUCUGGCAAGCAGGUUUCUUAGUAACCACAAAUCAGGCAUCUAAUCGUCAGUUGUCUCCUAUGUCUGGUACUACUCUGUUUUACCCUGGAAAUGUCCCUUUUCUUCAUCUAUACUUCUCUACUGUCACCAUUGAUGGUUAUAACAAAUUACUCAUUUAUUUCUUUCAUGGGUUAGCAAUUUACAGAAAGUGAAUUGCCUUUUUUUUUUUUUUUUGAGACAGGGUUUUACUGUGUUGCCCAGGAUGGAGUGCACUGGUGUGAUCUUGGCUCACUGCAACCUCUCCCUCCUGGGCUAAAGCCAUCCUCCUACCACAGUCUCCCAAGUAGCUGGGACUACAGGUGUGCACCACCAUGCCUGGCUAAUUUUUUGUAUUUUUAGUAGAGACGGGGUUUCACCACAUUAGCCAGACUGGUCUCAAAAACUCCUGAUCUGACCACCUCGGUCUCCCAAAUUGCUGGAAUUAUAGGCGUGAGCAACUGUGCCCAGCCAUCUUUUCUUAAGGAAAACAAAACAAAAUUAUUUCACUUCCAUUUAUGUUUAUAAAAAAAAAUUAUUCUGUCUUUACUUCUCUUUUCUAAGAACAUUUACAGUGAUUCUAGAGUUUCUCACAUAGAUGGAGCCUAAAUGUUGACUUUUAUUUAGCUAUUUUCCUAUUUAAUAAUUGAAAAUGGGUUCCACUAUCAGGUUCUGGUACUCACCAACAGAAGUUUACAUUCAGCAUUUUGGAUUUUCUCAUGGAGGAAGAAGCUCAAGAGGAAUAAGGAUAUAAUUGCUGUAACAUAUUUCCCAAAGCAAUGGUGCAUGCUGCCAGGGGUUGGAUGUAGCUCUGCAGAGAAAUGUUGGCAGCACAUGGAUCUUAAGUACCUCCUCCUCAGAGAAGCACACCAGCGCCAUUUUCUUACCCUUUCCCCUUCUGUUCCUACUUCAAGUUUUUUAGAACAGGAAGUUAACUAAAGAUGCCUUUAUUCAUCUGCUUAAGCCAAGGAUACGUCUUAGGAGGACCAUGCAAUAGAACAGAAGAACCCUCUUGGAGUAGGGAUCCAACCAGAAGAGGUGUUGUACCAAGGAAAGGAAACCAAAAUAGAAGGUAAAAGGCCCAAGUAUGAUCCUUUCAAAUCCCACAUCUCCGCUAAACCUCUCCUCUACUGUCUCCCAGCCAUUAUGCUGACUGAUUCCUCAAGGCUUACCCUUCCAAACUCAUGUUUGGUUGGGGCAGUAGAAUUUUUGUAGGAACUUCUACCUCACAGUCAAGUAAAAAAUCGGUAUUUGAGUAUAAGCCCUUCAUUGCAUGUGCCACAUUUCCAAGGCAAAUAUUAAGGUAGCAAGGAAAAUGGAAACUAACUGGAAGUUUCUAACCAUGUGAAAAUUCUCACAAUAAUCAGAGCAGUAUGUCCACUGGUCUGGCUCUUGGAUCACACACUGACAAAUAUAAUUUGAAGUUCCUCUGAAAGCGGGGAUUUUUCUGAAACUAAAAAUAGAACAACCUUAGUGUCUGAAGGGCAGGGCUCUGACUGCACAGAGUAGGUGAAGCCACUGAAUGUCUCCUAUAAGACAGCCAAGCCUGGUCAACACUCCCAGAAGACACUACCUAGCAACCACUGUUCUUUCUGAAUGGGGAGCAGGCAGCUCACCAUCUCCCCCAUCAUUUGUAAGUGAAGGUUAGAUUUUGGUGGUGAGAAAUGUUAACACCAGCUUUCUAGCUGUGGUAACUACAGAAACUCUCUUUAAAUAUUCCAUUUGCUCCUCUAUUCCUGGCCCCCUUGCAGUUAGGUGAGGCCACAAUACUAACUCUAGUCAAUGAAAAAUGAGUGGAAAUUAGUAUGUGUCCUCUCUGGGGUAAGACAGUAAAAAACCUCCAUGAAAUUCUCCAUUUUUUUCUCUUCCCUUGCUCUGGUGACUAAGUUGGCUAUGCAUUCCAGAUGGCAUAGCUGCAACACAGUGGAGCAUCUGUCAGCCUAGUUCCCUGAGUGACUAUAUGGAGCAGAGUCAACACUCCUUCCUUAAAUCUGGAUGAGACAUGUAAUUCGGGGGAGAAAUAAACUUUUAUUGUCUUUAACCACUGAGAUUUGGGGUUGUUUGUGACCACAGCAUAACUUAACUAUUCUGAUUUAAUCCAGUAUUUUAGAAAUUGUUUAGAAUGCAAUUCUAUCACUUUGAAUUACAUUGGCAGGUUUCGAAUAACACCUUCAACAACUUAGAAAGCCCUCAUGGAGAAUUGUAA
RNAcentral lists this long non-coding RNA (2443 nucleotides) under Macaca mulatta (Rhesus monkey). Its description in RNAcentral is "lncRNA (ENSMMUG00000059802.1)". Lineage: Eukaryota; Metazoa; Chordata; Mammalia; Primates; Cercopithecidae. The record is from RNAcentral.